RNAcentral lists this transfer RNA (58 nucleotides) under Pteropus alecto (black flying fox). It matches the Rfam family "tRNA". Rfam says of the family: Transfer RNA (tRNA) molecules are approximately 80 nucleotides in length. Lineage: Eukaryota; Metazoa; Chordata; Mammalia; Chiroptera; Pteropodidae. The record is from Rfam by way of RNAcentral.
GGCUCCAUAGUGUAGUGGUUAGCAUGUCUGCUUUGCAUGCAGAAAGUCCCUGGAGCUG